CCUACGGGGUGCAGCAGUGGGGAAUAUUGGGCAAUGGGCGCAAGCCUGACCCCGCAACGCCGCGUGAAGGAAGAAGGCUUUCGGGUUGUAACAUUCUUUUGACAGGGAGGCGUAGAAGACGGUACCUGUCGGAUAAGGCACGGCUAAAUACGUGCCAGCAGCCGCGGGCAUACGUAGGUGGCCAGCGUUGUCCCGGUUUACUGGGUGUAAAAGGCGUGUAGCCGGGUUAAAAAGUCAGAUGUGAAAUCCUGCGGCUUAACCGCAGAACUGCAUUUGAAACUGUUGAUCUUGAGUACUGGAGAGGCAGUCGGAAUUCCUAGUGUAGCGGUGAAAUGCGUAGAUAUUAGGCGGAACACCAGUGGCGAAGGCGGUCUGCUGGACAGCAACUGACGGUGAGGCGCGAAAGCGUGGGGAGCAAACAGGAUUAGAUACCCCGGUAGUC
RNAcentral lists this ribosomal RNA (442 nucleotides) under uncultured bacterium. Its description in RNAcentral is "partial 16S ribosomal RNA". It matches the Rfam family "Bacterial small subunit ribosomal RNA", at positions 338 to 795 of the family's 1533-position model. The record is from RNAcentral.